Molecule: ribosomal RNA, 881 nt
Filed under: uncultured archaeon pPACMA-Q
Lineage: Archaea
Description: bacterial SSU rRNA
Rfam family: Archaeal small subunit ribosomal RNA
Source: RNAcentral
AGCCACUGCUAUCGGGCUCCGACUAAGCCAUGCGAGUCUAGGGGCUCCUUCGGGAGCACCGGCGGACGGCUCAGUAACACGUGGACAACCUACCCUCGGGUGGGGGAUAACCUCGGGAAACUGAGGCUAAUACCCCAUAGGCCUCGGAUACUGGAAGGUUCUGAGGCUGAAAGCCCCGGCGCCCGAGGAUGGGUCUGCGGCCUAUCAGGUAGUUGGUGGUGUAAAGGACCACCAAGCCUACGACGGGUACGGGCCCUGAGAGGGGUAGCCCGGAGAUGGACUCUGAGACACGAGUCCAGGCCCUACGGGGCGCAGCAGGCGCGAAACCUUCGCAAUGCGCGAAAGCGCGACGAGGGGAGCCCGAGUGCCCUUCCUUUUGGGAGGGCUUUUCCGGAGUCUAAAAAGCUCCGGGAAUAAGGGCUGGGCAAGACGGGUGCCAGCCGCCGCGGUAAUACCCGCAGCUCGAGUGGUGGCCACUAUUAUUGAGCCUAAAGCGUCCGUAGCCGGACCCGCAAAUCCCUGGGUAAAUCCUGGUGCUCAACAUCAGGAAUUCCGGGGAGACUGCGGGUCUUGGGACCGGGAGAGGCCGGAGGUACUCCCGGGGUAGGGGUAAAAUCCUGUAAUCCCGGGGGGACCACCUGUGGCGAAAGCGUCCGGCUUGAACGGCUCCGACGGUGGGGGACGAAGGCCAGGGGAGCAAACCGGAUUAGAUACCCGGGUAGUCCUGGCUGUAAACGCUGCCCGCUUGGUGUUGUCGGUCUCUCGGGGGCCGGCAGUGCCGGAGCGAAGGUGUUAAGCGGGCCGCUUGGGGAGUACGGCCGCAAGGCUGAAACUUAAAGGAAUUGGCGGGAGAGCACUGCAACGGGAGGAGCGUGCGGUUU